Molecule: ribosomal RNA, 463 nt
Filed under: uncultured bacterium
Lineage: Bacteria
Description: partial 16S ribosomal RNA
Rfam family: Bacterial small subunit ribosomal RNA
Source: RNAcentral
GACGAACGCUGGCGGCGUGCUUAACACAUGCAAGUCGAACGGUAAGGCCCCAGCUUGCUGGGGUACACGAGUGGCGAACGGGUGAGUACACGUGGGUGACCUGCCCCGCACUUCGGGAUAAGCCUGGGAAACUGGGUCUAAUACCGGAUAGGACCGCACCGUGAGGGUGUGGUGGAAAGUUUUUCGGUGUGGGAUGGGCCCGCGGCCUAUCAGCUUGUUGGUGGGGUAAUGGCCUACCAAGGCGGCGACGGGUAGCCGGCCUGAGAGGGUGGACGGCCACAUUGGGACUGAGACACGGCCCAGACUCCUACGGGAGGCAGCAGUGGGGAAUAUUGCACAAUGGGCGGAAGCCUGAUGCAGCGACGCCGCGUGGGGGAUGACGGCCUUCGGGUUGUAAACUCCUUUCACCAUCGACGAAGGUUUUCUGACGGUAGAUGGAGAAGAAGCACCGGCUAACUACGUG